GACGAACGCUGGCGGCGUGCUUAACACAUGCAAGUCGAACGGUGAAGCGCCUUCCUUUUUGGUGGGUGUGGAUGAGUGGCGAACGGGUGAGUAACACGUGAGUAACCUGCCCCCUUCUUCUGGAUAACCGCAUGAAAGUGUGGCUAAUACGGGAUAUUCUGGGUCUGUCGCAUGAUGGGUCUGGGAAAGAUAUUGUUUCGGUGGGGGAUGGGCUCGCGGCCUAUCAGCUUGUUGGUGGGGUGAUGGCCUACCAAGGCGGUGACGGGUAGCCGGCCUGAGAGGGUGGACGGUCACACUGGGACUGAGACACGGCCCCGACUCCUACGAGCGGCAGCAGUGGGGAAUAUUGCACAAUGGGCGCAAGCCUGAUGCAGCGCCGCCGCGUGAGGGAUGGAGGCCUUCGGGUUGUGAACCUCUUUCGCCAGUGAAGCAGGCCUGCCUCGUUUGUGGGUGGGUUGACGGUAGCUGGAUAAGAAGCGCCGGCUAACUACGUG
This 494-nucleotide ribosomal RNA is filed under the name uncultured bacterium. RNAcentral describes it as "partial 16S ribosomal RNA". It matches the Rfam family "Bacterial small subunit ribosomal RNA", at positions 28 to 507 of the family's 1533-position model. The record is from RNAcentral.